UAGGGAAUCUUCCACAAUGGGCGAAAGCCUGAUGGAGCAACGCCGCGUGUGUGAUGAAGGGUUUCGGCUCGUAAAACACUGUUGUAAGAGAAGAAUGACAUUGAGGUAACUGUUCAAUGUGUGACGGUAUCUUACCAGAAAGGAACGGCUAAAUACGCGCCAG
RNAcentral lists this ribosomal RNA (163 nucleotides) under uncultured bacterium. Its description in RNAcentral is "partial 16S ribosomal RNA". It matches the Rfam family "Bacterial small subunit ribosomal RNA", at positions 355 to 511 of the family's 1533-position model. The record is from RNAcentral.